This 498-nucleotide ribosomal RNA is filed under the name uncultured bacterium. Its description in RNAcentral is "bacterial SSU rRNA". It matches the Rfam family "Bacterial small subunit ribosomal RNA", at positions 28 to 526 of the family's 1533-position model. The record is from RNAcentral.
GAUGAACGCUGGCGGCGUGCUUAACACAUGCAAGUCGAACGGGAUUAAUUUGCGGAAGCCUUCGGGUGGAAGCUAGUUAAUCUAGUGGCGGACGGGUGAGUAACGCGUGGGUAACCUGCCCUUGACUGGGGGACAACAGCUGGAAACGGCUGCUAAUACCGCAUAAGCUUACAAGGAUCGCAUGAUCUAGUAAGAAAAGCUCCGGCGGUCAAGGAUGGACCCGCGUCUGAUUAGGUAGUUGGCGGGGUAACGGCCCACCAAGCCAUCGAUCAGUAGCCGGCCUGAGAGGGUGAACGGCCACAUUGGGACUGAGACACGGCCCAGACUCCUACGGGAGGCAGCAGUGGGGAAUAUUGCACAAUGGGGGAAACCCUGAUGCAGCGACGCCGCGUGAGUGAAGACGGCCUUCGGGUUGUAAAGCUCUGUGGAGGGGGACGAUAAUGACGGUACCCCUCUAGAAAGCCACGGCUAACUACGUGCCAGCCGCCGCAGUAAAAC